GAAUGCUGACAUAAGUAACGAUAAAGCGGGUGAAAAGCCCGCUCGCCGGAAGACCAAGGGUUCCUGUCCAACGUUAAUCGGGGCAGGGUGAGUCGACCCCUAAGGCGAGGCCGAAAGGCGUAGUCGAUGGGAAACGGGUUAAUAUUCCCGUACUUGGUGUUACUGCGAAGGGGGGACGGAGAAGGCUAUGUUGGCCGGGCGACGGUUGUCCCGGUUUAAGCGUGUAGGUGUGUGUUCCAGGUAAAUCCGGUUCACUUUAACACUGAGGCGUGACGACGAGGCACUACGGUGCUGAAGCAACAAAUGCCCUGCUUCCAGGAAAAGCCUCUAAGCAUCAGGUAACAUCAAAUCGUACCCCAAACCGACACAGGUGGUCAGGUAGAGAAUACCAAGGCGCUUGAGAGAACUCGGGUGAAGGAACUAGGCAAAAUGGUGCCGUAACUUCGGGAGAAGGCACGCUGACACGUAGGUGAAGUGAUUUACUCAUGGAGCUGAAGUCAGUCGAAGAUACCAGCUGGCUGCAACUGUUUAUUAAAAACACAGCACUGUGCAAACACGAAAGUGGACGUAUACGGUGUGACGCCUGCCCGGUGCCGGAAGGUUAAUUGAUGGGGUCAGCGCAAGCGAAGCUCCUGAUCGAAGCCCCGGUAAACGGCGGCCGUAACUAUAACGGUCCUAAGGUAGCGAAAUUCCUUGUCGGGUAAGUUCCGACCUGCACGAAUGGCGUAAUGAUGGCCAGGCUGUCUCCACCCGAGACUCAGUGAAAUUGAACUCGCUGUGAAGAUGCAGUGUACCCGCGGCAAGACGGAAAGACCCCGUGAACCUUUACUAUAGCUUGACACUGAACAUUGAGCCUUGAUGUGUAGGAUAGGUGGGAGGCUUUGAAGCGUGGACGCCAGUCUGCGUGGAGCCGACCUUGAAAUACCACCCUUUAAUGUUUGAUGUUCUAACGUGGACCCGUGAUCCGGGUUGCGGACAGUGUCUGGUGGGUAGUUUGACUGGGGCGGUCUCCUCCUAAAGAGUAACGGAGGAGCACGAAGGUUGGCUAAUCCUGGUCGGACAUCAGGAGGUUAGUGCAAUGGCAUAAGCCAGCUUGACUGCGAGCGUGACGGCGCGAGCAGGUGCGAAAGCAGGUCAUAGUGAUCCGGUGGUUCUGAAUGGAAGGGCCAUCGCUCAACGGAUAAAAGGUACUCCGGGGAUAACAGGCUGAUACCGCCCAAGAGUUCAUAUCGACGGCGGUGUUUGGCACCUCGAUGUCGGCUCAUCACAUCCUGGGGCUGAAGUAGGUCCCAAGGGUAUGGCUGUUCGCCAUUUAAAGUGGUACGCGAGCUGGGUUUAGAACGUCGUGAGACAGUUCGGUCCCUAUCUGCCGUGGGCGCUGGAGAACUGAGGGGGGCUGCUCCUAGUACGAGAGGACCGGAGUGGACGCAUCACUGGUGUUCGGGUUGUCAUGCCAAUGGCACUGCCCGGUAGCUAAAUGCGGAAGAGAUAAGUGCUGAAAGCAUCUAAGCACGAAACUUGCCCCGAGAUGAGUUCUCCCUGAGACUUAAAGUCUCCUGAAGGAACGUUGAAGACGACGACGUUGAUAGGCCGGGUGUGUAAGCGCAGCGAUGCGUUGAGCUAACCGGUACUAAUGAACCGUGAGGCUUAACCUUACAAC
RNAcentral lists this ribosomal RNA (1660 nucleotides) under Salmonella enterica subsp. enterica serovar Newport. RNAcentral describes it as "partial 23S ribosomal RNA". It matches the Rfam family "Bacterial large subunit ribosomal RNA", at positions 1292 to 2925 of the family's 2925-position model. The record is from RNAcentral. Lineage: Bacteria; Pseudomonadati; Pseudomonadota; Gammaproteobacteria; Enterobacterales; Enterobacteriaceae.